This 2931-nucleotide ribosomal RNA is filed under the name Shigella flexneri. Its description in RNAcentral is "23S ribosomal RNA". It matches the Rfam family "Bacterial large subunit ribosomal RNA". Lineage: Bacteria; Pseudomonadati; Pseudomonadota; Gammaproteobacteria; Enterobacterales; Enterobacteriaceae. The record is from RNAcentral.
GGGUUGUGAGGUUAAGCGACUAAGCGUACACGGUGGAUGCCCUGGCAGUCAGAGGCGAUGAAGGACGUGCUAAUCUGCGAUAAGCGUCGGUAAGGUGAUAUGAACCGUUAUAACCGGCGAUUUCCGAAUGGGGAAACCCAGUGUGAUUCGUCACACUAUCAUUAACUGAAUCCAUAGGUUAAUGAGGCGAACCGGGGGAACUGAAACAUCUAAGUACCCCGAGGAAAAGAAAUCAACCGAGAUUCCCCCAGUAGCGGCGAGCGAACGGGGAGCAGCCCAGAGCCUGAAUCAGUGUGUGUGUUAGUGGAAGCGUCUGGAAAGGCGUGCGAUACAGGGUGACAGCCCCGUACACAAAAAUGCACAUACUGUGAGCUCGAUGAGUAGGGCGGGACACGUGGUAUCCUGUCUGAAUAUGGGGGGACCAUCCUCCAAGGCUAAAUACUCCUGACUGACCGAUAGUGAACCAGUACCGUGAGGGAAAGGCGAAAAGAACCCCGGCGAGGGGAGUGAAAAAGAACCUGAAACCGUGUACGUACAAGCAGUGGGAGCACGCUUAGGCGUGUGACUGCGUACCUUUUGUAUAAUGGGUCAGCGACUUAUAUUCUGUAGCAAGGUUAACCGAAUAGGGGAGCCGAAGGGAAACCGAGUCUUAACUGGGCGUUAAGUUGCAGGGUAUAGACCCGAAACCCGGUGAUCUAGCCAUGGGCAGGUUGAAGGUUGGGUAACACUAACUGGAGGACCGAACCGACUAAUGUUGAAAAAUUAGCGGAUGACUUGUGGCUGGGGGUGAAAGGCCAAUCAAACCGGGAGAUAGCUGGUUCUCCCCGAAAGCUAUUUAGGUAGCGCCUCGUGAAUUCAUCUCCGGGGGUAGAGCACUGUUUCGGCAAGGGGGUCAUCCCGACUUACCAACCCGAUGCAAACUGCGAAUACCGGAGAAUGUUAUCACGGGAGACACACGGCGGGUGCUAACGUCCGUCGUGAAGAGGGAAACAACCCAGACCGCCAGCUAAGGUCCCAAAGUCAUGGUUAAGUGGGAAACGAUGUGGGAAGGCCCAGACAGCCAGGAUGUUGGCUUAGAAGCAGCCAUCAUUUAAAGAAAGCGUAAUAGCUCACUGGUCGAGUCGGCCUGCGCGGAAGAUGUAACGGGGCUAAACCAUGCACCGAAGCUGCGGCAGCGACGCUUAUGCGUUGUUGGGUAGGGGAGCGUUCUGUAAGCCUGUGAAGGUGUACUGUGAGGUAUGCUGGAGGUAUCAGAAGUGCGAAUGCUGACAUAAGUAACGAUAAAGCGGGUGAAAAGCCCGCUCGCCGGAAGACCAAGGGUUCCUGUCCAACGUUAAUCGGGGCAGGGUGAGUCGACCCCUAAGGCGAGGCCGAAAGGCGUAGUCGAUGGGAAACAGGUUAAUAUUCCUGUACUUGGUGUUACUGCGAAGGGGGGACGGAGAAGGCUAUGUUGGCCGGGCGACGGUUGUCCCGGUUUAAGCGUGUAGGCUGGUUUUCCAGGCAAAUCCGGAAAAUCAAGGCCGAGGCGUGAUGACGAGGCACUACGGUGCUGAAGCAACAAAUGCCCUGCUUCCAGGAAAAGCCUCUAAGCAUCAGGUAACAUCAAAUCGUACCCCAAACCGACACAGGUGGUCAGGUAGAGAAUACCAAGGCGCUUGAGAGAACUCGGGUGAAGGAACUAGGCAAAAUGGUGCCGUAACUUCGGGAGAAGGCACGCUGAUACGUAGGUGAAGCGACUUGCUCGUGGAGCUGAAAUCAGUCGAAGAUACCAGCUGGCUGCAACUGUUUAUUAAAAACACAGCACUGUGCAAACACGAAAGUGGACGUAUACGGUGUGACGCCUGCCCGGUGCCGGAAGGUUAAUUGAUGGGGUUAGCGCAAGCGAAGCUCUUGAUCGAAGCCCCGGUAAACGGCGGCCGUAACUAUAACGGUCCUAAGGUAGCGAAAUUCCUUGUCGGGUAAGUUCCGACCUGCACGAAUGGCGUAAUGAUGGCCAGGCUGUCUCCACCCGAGACUCAGUGAAAUUGAACUCGCUGUGAAGAUGCAGUGUACCCGCGGCAAGACGGAAAGACCCCGUGAACCUUUACUAUAGCUUGACACUGAACAUUGAGCCUUGAUGUGUAGGAUAGGUGGGAGGCUUUGAAGUGUGGACGCCAGUCUGCAUGGAGCCGACCUUGAAAUACCACCCUUUAAUGUUUGAUGUUCUAACGUGGACCCGUAAUCCGGGUUGCGGACAGUGUCUGGUGGGUAGUUUGACUGGGGCGGUCUCCUCCUAAAGAGUAACGGAGGAGCACGAAGGUUGGCUAAUCCUGGUCGGACAUCAGGAGGUUAGUGCAAUGGCAUAAGCCAGCUUGACUGCGAGCGUGACGGCGCGAGCAGGUGCGAAAGCAGGUCAUAGUGAUCCGGUGGUUCUGAAUGGAAGGGCCAUCGCUCAACGGAUAAAAGGUACUCCGGGGAUAACAGGCUGAUACCGCCCAAGAGUUCAUAUCGACGGCGGUGUUUGGCACCUCGAUGUCGGCUCAUCACAUCCUGGGGCUGAAGUAGGUCCCAAGGGUAUGGCUGUUCGCCAUUUAAAGUGGUACGCGAGCUGGGUUUAGAACGUCGUGAGACAGUUCGGUCCCUAUCUGCCGUGGGCGCUGGAGAACUGAGGGGGGCUGCUCCUAGUACGAGAGGACCGGAGUGGACGCAUCACUGGUGUUCGGGUUGUCAUGCCAAUGGCACUGCCCGGUAGCUAAAUGCGGAAGAGAUAAGUGCUGAAAGCAUCUAAGCACGAAACUUGCCCCGAGAUGAGUUCUCCCUGACCCUUUAAGGGUCCUGAAGGAACGUUGAAGACGACGACGUUGAUAGGCCGGGUGUGUAAGCGCAGCGAUGCGUUGAGCUAACCGGUACUAAUGAACCGUGAGGCUUAACCUUACAACGCCGAAGGUGUUU